CUGUUGAGGGAGCCUUGAAAGGUUCAAGGGGCAAUGUCCUUGCUGCUGAGUUGACUUCUGGUUCCAAAAGAAAGUCUACUUGGAAGAAAAAGAAGCCUGCUAAGAAGCAGAAGAAAGACAAGAAGCCAAAGAAGGAAGUUCAAAAGAAAAAGGCUAACGACAAAGGAAAAUGUUUCCACUGCAAUGUCGACGGCCACUGGAAGAGAAACUAUCCUUCAUACCUCGAGAGCCUGAAGAACAAGAAAGGUGACACACCUUCAGAAGGUAUAGACUUGCUCAUA
This 281-nucleotide long non-coding RNA is filed under the name Phoenix dactylifera (date palm). RNAcentral describes it as "long non-coding RNA (PDAC_LNC000200)". Lineage: Eukaryota; Viridiplantae; Streptophyta; Magnoliopsida; Arecales; Arecaceae. The record is from RNAcentral.